Molecule: long non-coding RNA, 239 nt
Filed under: Lathyrus oleraceus (garden pea)
Lineage: Eukaryota; Viridiplantae; Streptophyta; Magnoliopsida; Fabales; Fabaceae
Description: Pisum sativum (pea) long non-coding RNA (PSAT_LNC027135)
Source: RNAcentral
AAAAAAUCCAAAAUAACCAAUAUUUCAAAAAAAUAUCAAAAUAACCAUCUUUCAAAACAGAUGCCCCAUAUUAACUGGCGCAUCCGUUUUGUAACAGGAGGAGGCUCCCACAUCAUUGGCGCAUGCUUUGGAAGCAUUUAAUGUUGGUGCCAAGUGAGCUGACGUCUAUACUUGGCCAUUGGUGUAUGCGCCAAUUCAUAUGGCGCAUACACCUUUGUAUUUUUUUUUUUAUUUUUUUU